GGGGUCGAUCGGUAUUGACAGCGAGUGGAAUUAGUUAGUAAGCACGUCGAGCGUUGUUAUGUAGCUCGUAAAUAUCAUGUAACGAACUUUUUAAACGGCGAAAAUAAUUACGCUUUAGCUGCUUAAUCUGAAUUAUAGUAAGAUUUGCCUUUAGUUCCCACCAGGUGGGAGAGCUAGAUUCCUCUUAAGAGCCUUGGUUUAUGGCGCUUUGUCCAGAGGAACCGUAAAGUAAACCUAGACCUACGAGCGUCUCGUACAUAGGUUGACAUCUUAGAGACUAAGUUGUGAGUGGCUGUUUCUUGCCAAGCUCACAAUCGAAAAUUUAAUAAGGAACUAAGCGUGUAGAAAGCUUCCUGAUUGCUUGUUUGGACCCGAGUUCGAUUCUCGGCGACUCCACAG
This 399-nucleotide transfer-messenger RNA is filed under the name Flavobacteriaceae. RNAcentral describes it as "Flavobacterium phaeum Standard tmRNA". It matches the Rfam family "transfer-messenger RNA". Rfam says of the family: Bacterial tmRNA, also known as 10Sa RNA or SsrA, is named for its dual tRNA and mRNA-like properties. Its role is to liberate the mRNA from a stalled ribosome. Lineage: Bacteria; Pseudomonadati; Bacteroidota; Flavobacteriia; Flavobacteriales. The record is from RNAcentral. RNAcentral also lists the same sequence under 1 other name.